CACGUAGGGCGCAAGCGUUGUCCGGAAUUAUUGGGCGUAAAGCGCUUGUAGGCGGCACGUCAAGUCGCGUGUGAAAUCCCCAGGCUUAACCUGGGAAGUGCGCGCGAAACUGACGAGCUUGAGUGCCGGAGAGGGUUGCGGAAUUCCCGGUGUAGAGGUGAAAUUCGUAGAUAUCGGGAGGAACACCAGUGGCGAAGGCGGCGACCUGGACGGACACUGACGCUGAGACGCGAAAGCGUGGGGAGCAAACAGG
This 253-nucleotide ribosomal RNA is filed under the name uncultured bacterium. RNAcentral's name for it is "partial 16S ribosomal RNA". It matches the Rfam family "Bacterial small subunit ribosomal RNA", at positions 524 to 776 of the family's 1533-position model. The record is from RNAcentral.